CUUCACACCUACUGAAAGUCUCCUUGAUGUCCUGAAACAGCCGUAGGCCACCCUGCUGACUCUGCUCCUGGGCCUCGGCCAGCAAGCUGUGCUGUUUGGGCUCAGCUGGGUGGCCUGCUCUGAGAGGCGGCUGGCUGCAGCUCCCGCACGCCCCAACUGGGCUUCAUGCAUCUCUCGGAGGCGCCGCUGCAGCCCUGCCUGCUCUUCAGCCAGAAACCGCGUCAACUGCCCAAACUCUGAAGCCACAGCUGUAAGCUCUAACUUCAUCUGGCUCUUCAGUUCUGUCACCCGCCUCUCCUCCUUGGCCUUCAUCUUCUGCAUGACUUCCAGGUGCUUCCUCAGUGGUUCCAGGUGCCCUUGCAAUUUGGCCUUGUACUCCUGCACCACCUCCUCCAAUGGCACCACGCUGUGCUGUUUGUGGCUCCUAGAGUCACGGCACACCACACAGAUGGCUUCAUCUACCUCGCAGAAGAGCUUCAGUGCUUCUUGGUGUUUAGGACAGAUGCCCUGCUCGUUUACACGGCUCCCUCGAGCAGGGGUUGGAUGCAUCUGCCGAAUCCGGAACCAUGUUGGCCAGCUGCAAGUUGGGGCAGAAGCUCCGUUGAGGAAAGCUCUUUCGACACUGGGGGAGGAGUUUCUCUUCUGCUUGGUCAACUCCCGGGACUCUGAUGGGGCACUUUAUGGGGUGGCAUCACAGGGCAAGAGGAGGCCCCCUGUGUGGGUCUGUUCUAUGAAAUUUCUCAAUUUCCUGUCUUACACUAAUAAAGUGGCUGGUGACCCAAGGCCUGAUGCACGGGACGCUUUCUCUCCUGAUUUUACCACCUGAAUGAACCAAGAAGGACCAAAGAAAAGAAGUGGUAGAAUUUUCCAUACUGCCAAGAAAAAACCCACAAAAUCUAACCUUUUAUUGAAAAAAGUGUUCAUGUUUUAAGAGAAAAAGGGGGAAAGAAACCUCUCUGGGACCCUUGUUCCCCUCUAGUGCCUUUAAUAACUGCCUUUCACUUCCCAGACAAGUGCCUUUCACUUCCCAGACAAUUCUGAAGUCUAAUUUCUCAUCAACUCAUCCUUCUUCCUCCAGCUACCAGGCAGUCUGAAGCCAGGAGCCAGGAGCUCCAUUUGGGUCUCUUGUGAGUGGCAGGGGCCCAAGCACUAGGGCCAUUUUCUGCUGCCUUCCCAGGGUCAUUAACAGGGAGCUGGAUCAGAAGUGGAGCAGCCAACAAUUGAACAGACACCCAUAUGGGAUGCUGGGGGUCACAGGUGAUGGUUUAACCUGCUAUGCCACGACGCCAACCCCCUCAUUUUUCUAAAUUUUAUAUUUUUUGUUUAAAACGGAACACAAACAUAUGCAUUAGCCUGGGUUCACACAGGGUCAGGAUCAUCAAUGUCAUUCACCUCCAUCCACAUCUUGUUCCACUGGAGGAUCUUCAAGGAACAAAAAUAUGCACGUCCUCUCCUGUGGUAGCAUACAGUUGUUGUCUUCUGGACAACUUCCUGAUGAACCCGCCUGGGCUUCCUUUGAGGAGGGGUCACUCUUCAGAAAUAGGUCCAUGAUGAUUUGCUUGCUUGGUUUAUUUUAUUUCUUUAGUUUUCAUCACAGAUUUUCAUACAAGCAGAUAAUACACCAAGAAUAUUCCUCUCUAUUAUUGAAAACCAUCCCAUGUUGGGGUCCAAGUUUUCAAGAUUUUGAAGGAGCUCACUGACAUCUGCAAAAGUUUCUGCUAGACCCUUCUCUGUGAAUCUUCGUGGAGGUUCUUCUGUUUCAUCUCCUGCAGCUUCCUUUUCUCUUCCCUCUGCUUCAGCUAUGCAUUCCUAAGGUGACAGAAGAG
RNAcentral lists this long non-coding RNA (1826 nucleotides) under Oryctolagus cuniculus (rabbit). RNAcentral's name for it is "lncRNA (ENSOCUG00000033204.1)". The record is from RNAcentral. Lineage: Eukaryota; Metazoa; Chordata; Mammalia; Lagomorpha; Leporidae.